Molecule: ribosomal RNA, 491 nt
Filed under: uncultured bacterium
Lineage: Bacteria
Description: partial 16S ribosomal RNA
Rfam family: Bacterial small subunit ribosomal RNA
Source: RNAcentral
AGUGAACGCUGGCGGUAGGCCUAACACAUGCAAGUCGAACGGCAGCACAGUAAGAGCUUGCUCUUACGGGUGGCGAGUGGCGGACGGGUGAGGAAUACAUCGGAAUCUACUUUUUCGUGGGGGAUAACGUAGGGAAACUUACGCUAAUACCGCAUACGACCUACGGGUGAAAGCAGGGGAUCUUCGGACCUUGCGCGAUUGAAUGAGCCGAUGUCGGAUUAGCUAGUUGGCGGGGUAAAGGCCCACCAAGGCGACGAUCCGUAGCUGGUCUGAGAGGAUGGUCAGCCACACUGGAACUGAGACACGGUCCAGACUCCUACGGGAGGCAGCAGUGGGGAAUAUUGGACAAUGGGCGCAAGCCUGAUCCAGCCAUACCGCGUGGGUGAAGAAGGCCUUCGGGUUGUAAAGCCCUUUUGUUGGGAAAGAAAAGCAGCAGGUUAAUACCCCGCUGUUCUGACGGGACCCAAAGAAUAAGCACCGGCUAACUUCGU